UGAAGCCCAGCUUGCUGGGUGGAUUAGUGGCGAACGGGUGAGUAACACGUGAGUAACCUGCCCUGGACUCUGGGAUAACUUCGGGAAACCGGAGCUAAUACCGGAUAGGACCUUUCACCGCAUGGUGGGGGGUGGAAAGUUUUUCGGUUUGGGAUGGACUCGCGGCCUAUCAGCUUGUUGGUGAGGUAAUGGCUCACCAAGGCGUCGACGGGUAGCCGGCCUGAGAGGGCGACCGGCCACACUGGGACUGAGAUACGGCCCAGACUCCUACGGGAGGCAGCAGUGGGGAAUAUUGCACAAUGGGCGCAAGCCUGAUGCAGCAACGCCGCGUGCGGGAUGACGGCCUUCGGG
This 351-nucleotide ribosomal RNA is filed under the name uncultured bacterium. RNAcentral's name for it is "bacterial SSU rRNA". It matches the Rfam family "Bacterial small subunit ribosomal RNA", at positions 70 to 422 of the family's 1533-position model. The record is from RNAcentral.